AUCCAGAUGACGAAUCCCAAAUAGGACGAAAUGCGCAUCCUGAAU
Molecule: non-coding RNA, 45 nt
Organism: Trichobilharzia regenti
Lineage: Eukaryota; Metazoa; Platyhelminthes; Trematoda; Strigeidida; Schistosomatidae
Source: Rfam